ACCAGGGACAGAGCAACAUCUGCACCACAAUGAGCUGCAGAUUUCUUCCACGACUGCACUCGGUUCGGAAUCUCCUCCAGUCGGGUCAUCAGGUUCUCCAUCUCCUGCCGCGACUCAUCUUCUGGCCAAAGCUCCUUGUCGAUUCGGCCGACGACUUCUCUCAGUCGACCGAUGAAAGGACCAACUUUGCCCACGCGGAUGUGUGCACGGAGCAGAUCCCGAU
RNAcentral lists this long non-coding RNA (223 nucleotides) under Hordeum vulgare. RNAcentral describes it as "long non-coding RNA (HVUL_LNC004420)". Lineage: Eukaryota; Viridiplantae; Streptophyta; Magnoliopsida; Poales; Poaceae. The record is from RNAcentral.